RNAcentral lists this ribosomal RNA (535 nucleotides) under uncultured bacterium. Its description in RNAcentral is "partial 16S ribosomal RNA". It matches the Rfam family "Bacterial small subunit ribosomal RNA", at positions 355 to 899 of the family's 1533-position model. The record is from RNAcentral.
UGGGGAAUAUUGCACAAUGGGCGCAAGCCUGAUGCAGCAACGCCGCGUGAGGGAUGACGGCCUUCGGGUUGNAAACCUCUUUUAGUAGGGAAGAAGCGAAAGUGACGGUACCUGCAGAAAAAGCACCGGCUAACUACGUGCCAGCAGCCGCGGUAAUACGUAGGGUGCGAGCGUUGUCCGGAAUUAUUGGGCGUAAAGAGCUCGUAGGCGGUCUGUCGCGUCUGCUGUGAAAAUCCCCGAGGCUCAACCUCGGGCCUGCAGUGGGUACGGGCAGACUAGAUGCGGUAGGGGAGAAUGGAAUUCCUGGUGUAGCGGUGGAAUGCGCAGAUAUCAGGAGGAACACCGAUGGCGAAGGCAGUUCUCUGGGCCGUAACUGACGCUGAGGAGCGAAAGCGUGGGGAGCGAACAGGAUUAGAUACCCUGGUAGUCCACGCCGUAAACGUUGGGCGCUAGAUNUGGGGACCAUUCCACGGUUUCCGUGUCGCAGCUAACGCAUUAAGCGCCCCGCCUGGGGAGUACGGCCGCAAGGCUAAAA